Molecule: long non-coding RNA, 1614 nt
Organism: Sinocyclocheilus anshuiensis
Lineage: Eukaryota; Metazoa; Chordata; Actinopteri; Cypriniformes; Cyprinidae
Source: Ensembl
GGAAAGUCUUCGGUUCGGGUACAAGACUUUUCGUGAUAGGUAAGAAAAAAAUCACAUCAUUAAGGUCUUCUAGGCUGAUUUUAAGCAUUUUAAACUUAAUUUCACACUAAUUACUUGUGCAAUUCAGCUGAAGAAGAGAGAAUAGCUAGUGUAGAAUAGCAAUUCCAGGCUGCUUUAGUGAGUGUGCAUGUUUGCAUAAAAAAGGUGAAAAUAUGCUAAAGUCAUUGUUUACCCAAAAUGAAAAGUCUGUCAUUAUUUUCUCACCCUCAUGUCAUUCUAAACCUGUAUGACUUUUUUCUGUGGAGCACAAAAGGAGAUAUUUUGAAAACUGUGCAAUUGUUUUGUGCAUACAAUGAAAAUAAUAAUAAAAAAGGUUCAGUGUGAUUUUGGACCCCACUGACUUCCAUUGUACGAACGAAAACAGUUCUAAAACAUUCUUCAAAAUAUCUUUUGUGUUCUACGGAAGAAUAAAGUCAUAUGUUGAAUAGUAUGAGGGCGAUGAUAACAGAAUUUUCUUUUUUGUUUUUGUGAAUUAUCCCUUUAAAAUAGUGUAGACCAUCAGGAACAGUGGUCUUAAUCAAUUAUAUAGUAGGCUAGAAGGUUUUUCAUUAUUCAGAAGUAUUUGUAAUAGACUUUAUCUGAGUGGGCAACUGGAUCAAAAGAUUUGGAUCUGGAACACGGCUGGUUGUAACCGGUAGGAAACAGUGUCAGAAUUUCUUCAAAUGCAUAAAAUUAUAUAAUUUCUAAGUAAAAACUAUGCCAGUCAUUCUCUUUUUGCUUAUUUGCUCAUUUGCUCAUUGAUCACUGAAGCUAUGUUCAACAUGUGUUUCUCUCAAGACCCAAAGAAAGAAAUUGUUACGGUACCAGAGUUGACUGGAUACCGACCAUCAAAAAAAAACACUGACAUUCAUGGCAAACAGACAAUGUUAUGCCAUGCCAGUGGCAUGGUUCCUGACUUUGUGACAUUCAAAUGGCAAGAAAAGAGCGGUGCAGGACAGUGGACAGAUGUAUCAGAGGAAAAUGUUUUGGAGCAGAGGAAAGAAAGUCCAGCUGUCACUGUGACAAGUAUGAUGAUUGUAGAUAAAAACAUGGCAGAAAACAAGGACUACCAAUGCAUUGUUACCCAUGAGGGAAACACUGAGAAUCCUUCCAAAUCUCUUGAAAUGAAGAAAGAAAACAGUAAGCCGGCAAAGGAAUCUAAAAAUGAUGCUCAGAACCCAACAUGUUCACCCAGCACUGAGGAGACCAUAAAAAAGCAAAUAUCAGGAGAUUCAGAGCAAAUACCAAGUAUGUUCCUGUUUGUCUAUGCAUAUGGUGUCUUGCUCAUGAAGAACGGUUUAUUUUUUUGCAUUGUGUCUAUGUUUCAAUUAAAGAGAAAAGCUGGAAAGAAAGACAAAAGCUCAGAGACUUAAUGCAUAAGAUAAAUAUCAAGCAAGCAAAGGUUUAUUACAUAAAGCACAUUUCGCUAACUAAAGAAUAGAUGCAUAUCUACAGCAAUAUUAUUUCUGCUUAAAAUGUAUGGCUUUUAAAUUUGUUGUAGAUCUGCUUUGAACAAUUUACUUUUUCAUCUUUAAAAUGCAAUAUUUUGAUUUUUUAAAAUGUAUAAUGUACCCA